GUCGGCCACCAUCGGCACCCUCCUCUCCGGCGACGGCGGCGGAAUCACAGCCGAAGACGACAUCAAUUCCUCCGGUUCUUGAAUCUCCUCCUCUCUCGCUGCGUUCUUGCGUUCUUGGUGGUGAAGAGGAAGGGACAGGGAGGAACUGAGAAGUUCAGAAAUGAAAAAGGGAAAUGUAGGUUGGUUGUGAGAUGAUGAGUUCUUCAGACCUUUGUUUGCCUGAGAAUGGUAGUUGUCUGCUUUGAUGAAGCUGCAACCUAAGGUUUCAGCAAGGAGUGCUACUACUGUCCUGCGAAUUCACAGUGAAAUGCUGAAUUCAUAAGAACUGUCAUAAAUUCUGCUAAGAGGACAAAAAAAAAAACUGAAGUAAAUUCAAGAUUUAAAAAUGAACAGUACUAUUACAAAAUCUAAAUGUAGGUCUGAAAGUCACAUCCUAAUUGCUCUUGGAUUCUUCCUCUCACAAAAUCUGAAUUUCAACAUGCACAAAAUCUGACCAUAUUGUCACUUUUCAGGCCUAUUAUCACCUCACAAAAUCUGACCAUAUUGUCACUUUUCAGUCCUAUUAUCACCUCACAGCAAUGAUGCAAAAAAUAUUGCUCUACUAGGAGAUGAAGCCAGGAAGGUUCAAGCAGCCCAGCGGCAAACAGGGUUUCUACUGAAGGAUUAAUUCAGAUUUUGUAAAUAAAAUGAAACUCAAGAACUGAGUACACUCAGUAGAUACUCUUCCAGUUGAACUGCAACUGAACAAGUCUGAAGACACUGUCAGCCUUUCUUUGUCUGUCCGAGCAUAUCUGCCCACUGAAAAUUACUGAGCCAAAUUCAAUAUAAGAUGAUCUUUGUCUGUCUGAGCAUUAUAUAA
Oryza sativa Japonica Group (Japanese rice) is the source of this 859-nucleotide non-coding RNA. NCBI's taxonomy places the organism in Eukaryota, Viridiplantae, Streptophyta, Magnoliopsida, Poales, Poaceae. The record is from RefSeq and is a predicted model, not a curated record.